CAAUCGCCCUAUCAACACCACCUCACUGCCGGACCUAUCGCAAUCACUGAGGCUCUGUUGACACUCUUGCCUGUCCAGCCGCUGUGGGUCACUCUCUCGUCUCUGCCAAGCAGUCCCGCCUAUUGUGCACCUCAGCCUCGCGGCUUCAACAAGUUCCGAUGCCGCCAUACCCGAACUCACAUCGCGCUUGCGAGCUUCUUGAGUCCGUGAGUGCUUCAGCAAUGGCGUCAAAUCCAGACUUUCGGAAAGAUGUUAUGAUAUGGGCGAUCGCGUGAAACGCGAAAUGGGACGCUCCGUUCGUUCUACCCCUGAGCGGGCUGGUCGACCCCCUGGCCUAGUCGUUGAUCCUCCCCACCCUGUUUCGGGCUUUUGUCUGUGCAAGCCGGUUACCGAAGACCAGAUAGAUAUGGAAUCAGGAGCGUCAGAUGCAAGUUGAAGCAGAGGGGGGGAUUUUGAUGGACCAGUCGCAUUUGUGGGAUUGUUGAUGGGAUAAAUCAAUCCGUCCGAAAUGCCGAAAGGAAAAGCAUUGGAUUGUGGCGUAGCGUUUGAAUCAAACAGAAAGUGCUUCCUGC
Non-coding RNA from Neurospora crassa OR74A, 572 nucleotides. The record is from RefSeq and is a predicted model, not a curated record. NCBI's taxonomy places the organism in Eukaryota, Fungi, Ascomycota, Sordariomycetes, Sordariales, Sordariaceae.